Molecule: non-coding RNA, 85 nt
Organism: Pongo abelii (Sumatran orangutan)
Lineage: Eukaryota; Metazoa; Chordata; Mammalia; Primates; Hominidae
Source: Rfam
GCUCAGGCUGUGAUUUCAAGCCAGGGGGCGUUUUUCUGUAACUGGAUGAAAAGCACCUCCAGGGCUUGAAGCUCACAGUUUGAGA